CUCAUUGCUGAUUCACCUCCUAUUAAGCCAUAGGUCAAGUCAUGUAUAGUUUUUUGUUUUGUUUGUUCUUGACAUUUAGUAUUGUGCAUUUCCUGUGGUUUUAUCUGCAAUAAGGACUUAGAACAGUUGUGCUCAAAUAUUGAGGCAGCACAAUAGACACUCUGAUGUUAUGGGACCACCCAAUAUGACAUGACUCUAUACAAGACAGUCUACCAGAUGGAGUCAGCACUAAGCCCUAACAAGCUCUACAGAACCAUACCUACUCCUAUAGAACACAUAUGGGAGUGAGGUUUAUAAUUUAUAUUCUGCCAAUUCCCCUACUGGGUCCUAAUCCAACUGUAAGGAAUAAUGUAGUUUCCUUUAUUUGAAGUAAUAUGAAGGAAUCUUUA
Non-coding RNA from Pelobates cultripes (western spadefoot toad), 389 nucleotides. The record is from the annotation of a GenBank genome assembly. Lineage: Eukaryota; Metazoa; Chordata; Amphibia; Anura; Pelobatidae.